Molecule: unclassified non-coding RNA, 253 nt
Filed under: uncultured Alphaproteobacteria bacterium
Lineage: Bacteria; Pseudomonadati; Pseudomonadota; Alphaproteobacteria
Description: contains 16S-23S intergenic spacer region
Rfam family: Bacterial small subunit ribosomal RNA
Source: RNAcentral
UACGAAGGGGGCUAGCGUUGUUCGGAAUUACUGGGCGUAAAGCGCGCGCAGGCGGUUCUUCAAGUCAGAGGUGAAAGCCCCGAGCUCAACUCGGGAAUUGCCUUUGAGACUGGAGGACUUGGGUACGGGAGAGGUGAGUGGAAUUCCGAGUGUAGAGGUGAAAUUCGUAGAUAUUCGGAAGAACACCAGUGGCGAAGGCGGCUCACUGGCCCGUUACCGACGCUCAGGCGCGACAGCGUGGGGAUCAAACAGG